GGUCCAGACUCCUACGGGAGGCAGCAGUGGGGAAUAUUGCACAAUGGGGGAAACCUGAUGCAGCAACGCCGCGUGGAGGAAGAAGGUUUUCGGAUUGUAAACUCCUGUCUUUUGGGACGAUAAUGACGGUACCAAAAGAGGAAGCCACGGCUAACUACGUGCCAGCAGCCGCGGUAAUACGUAGGUGGCGAGCGUUGUCCGGAAUUACUGGGCGUAAAGGGCGCGUAGGCGGCUAAUCAAGUCAGAUGUGAAAACCCUAGGCUUAACCUGGGGAUUGCAUUUGAAACUGACUAGCUCGAGUGUCGGAGAGGAAAGCGGAAUUCCUAGUGUAGCGGUGAAAUGCGUAGAUAUUAGGAGGAACACCAGUGGCGAAGGCGGCUUUCUGGACGAUAACUGACGCUGAGGCGCGAAAGCGUGGGGAGCAAACAGGAUUAGAUACCCUGGUAGUCCACGCCGUAAACGAUGGAUACUAGGUGUGGGAGGUAUCGAACCCUU
This 495-nucleotide ribosomal RNA is filed under the name uncultured bacterium. RNAcentral describes it as "bacterial SSU rRNA". It matches the Rfam family "Bacterial small subunit ribosomal RNA", at positions 328 to 841 of the family's 1533-position model. The record is from RNAcentral.